UCAAGAAGUCCGAGGAAGAUGAUUUCGUCGAAAGUAGUAACAUUAUAGUCAUGUUAUGAUUAUUCAAAUGAUUUUCUUGUAUAAAGUCAUACGAUACCCUCGAUUCUGUCCUCCAAGAGUUAACGUGUCUACGCCAAUGGCUGCAUAAAGGGGGAACGCGGCACCUCGAUAUUCAGGGGUUCUCAUUUCUCGUCCUUUCUUAAAUCUCUACUUAAUCUUUGCUCUCGUUUACGUGAAUUAUCAUCGGAGAACUUUAAUAAGUUUAAUGCCUGACACCAACCAAGUCUUUUCCCAGGCCACUUCGUGUCUCUGAUAGUCAGAGGGAUAUGGUUAAGCUUGCGUCGUUGCUUCUCGAGAACCACGGUAAGUCCGAUUGAUUCUAUUCUACCAAGGAUGCUGUAUUUCGAUCACCAAGCUUCAUUUUUACGAUUUAAAUGUUAUAUAUUUAUAUUUAUGUUAAGUAAAAGUGAUUUAUAUUGUUUUAUUAUUCGUGAUUUGAAACUCUCAACGAUAGGUAUGUAUAUACAUAUAUAUAUCAAAGUGGUAUUCAAAUAUUUAAAAGAAUGUGGUUCUGCCAAAAUAUA
Molecule: long non-coding RNA, 584 nt
Organism: Polistes dominula (European paper wasp)
Lineage: Eukaryota; Metazoa; Arthropoda; Insecta; Hymenoptera; Vespidae
Source: RefSeq, a predicted model, not a curated record